Molecule: long non-coding RNA, 660 nt
Filed under: Populus trichocarpa (black cottonwood)
Lineage: Eukaryota; Viridiplantae; Streptophyta; Magnoliopsida; Malpighiales; Salicaceae
Description: long non-coding RNA (PTRI_LNC002213)
Source: RNAcentral
UUCUCUAAAUACACCUUAUCACCCCACUUAUCCCUUUGUGUAGCCAAUAAAUAAACCAUCGCAGACUGAUCAUCCGCUUCGAAAACCGGCCUAUUCUUGAGUUCCCUGGUAAGCACCUUCCCUGCUUCAUCUCUAAUCUUCCCUUUUGGCCCCAUUGGUGACCACGCAUCCAAAAGAUCCAACGACCAUUGACAAUUCCUCAGCAAAAAACUCCCAGUAUUCAAUCCAAUCCAAUUCUUUUGAUCAUAAACCAUUUCAUUCCAUCCGUGCAUGACAAAAUUCGAAUCCUUAUACCUCUCCCACGGCACCUCGAAAGCCAUAUCCGUAAACAUAGCAUCACUAUCCAUCCACCACAAAAACUCAAUCUCCGGGUGCGAAAUCAAUAGCUUCCUAAUCAAAGGCAAUUUCGCCCAAAACCCUGCCAUUUCCGCAUCCAGCAAUGCCAUAUUAUAAAAUAUCUCAAUUCCAUGAAGCCUGCAAUAAUCAAUCUUAUUUUUUAUAGAUUUUAACAAGUAAUGAUCCCCUACCGGAUUCUCACACGGCUUCGGCGAAGAUCCAGUUACUAACAAAACACGCGGUUUGUUUGCCCCGAUAAAAUUGCUAAAAUUAGGGUUUUCACUCAACCAUUUCGCCCGCUGUUCAUCCCAAUCUGAUAUUUUC